GGGCUGAUGGUGGAUACCUAGGCACACAGAGGCGAAGAAGGACGUAGCAACCGACGAAAUACUCCGGGGAGCUGGAAGCAAGCAUAGAGCCGGAGAUGUCCGAAUGGGGCAACCCUAAGUACUGCCGACUGAAUAUAUAGGUCGGAAAGAGCGAACCCAGCGAACUGAAACAUCUUAGUAGCUGGAGGAAGAGAAAGAAAACUCGAUUCCCUAAGUAGUGGUGAGCGAACGGGGAUAAGCCUAAACCAGAAGAUUUUUCUUCUGGGGUAGUGGGACAGCGAUAUGGAAUCAGAGUGUUAGACGAAGCAGUCGAAUACUGCACCAGAGAAGGUGAAAGUCCUGUAGUCGAAAAUGCAAAGAUACUAGCUGAAUCCCGAGUAGCACGGGGCACGAGAAAUCCCGUGUGAAUCAGCGAGGACCACCUCGUAAGGCUAAAUACUACUGUGUGACCGAUAGCGAAACAGUACCGCGAGGGAAAGGUGAAAAGAACCCCGGGAGGGGAGUGAAAUAGAACAUGAAACCGUCAGCCUGCAAGCAGUGGAAGGACGAUUCAACGUCUGACCGCGUGCCUGUUGAAGAAUGAGCCGGCGAGUUAUAACGUGUGGCAGGUUAAGGUGAAACGCCGAAGCCAAAGCGAAAGCGAGUCUGAAGAGGGCGAAUGUAUUGUCACAGGUUAUAGACCCGAACCCGGGUGAUCUAACCAUGUCCAGGAUGAAGCUUGGGUAACACCAAGUGGAGGUCCGCACCGACCGAUGUUGAAAAAUCGGCGGAUGAGGUGUGGUUAUGGGGGUGGGAAAUGCCAAUCGAACCCGGAGCUAGCUGGGUUCUCCCCGAAAUGUGUUGAGGCGCAGCGGCUGUGAUGAAAGUCUGGGGGUAAAGCACUGUUUCGGUGCGGGCUGCGAGAGCGGUACCAAAUCGAGGCAAACUCUGAAUACCAGACUCCGAGCAGCUAGUGAGACGGUGGGGGAUAAGCUUCAUCGUCAAGAGGGAAACAGCCCAGACCACCAGCUAAGGUCCCCAAAUUGUCACUAAGUGAUAAAGGAGGUGGGAGUGCAAAGACAACCAGGAGGUUUGCCUAGAAGCAGCCAUCCUUGAAAGAGUGCGUAAUACGCUCACUGGUCAAGCGCUCCUGCGCCGAAAAUGAACGGGGCUAAGUGACAUACCGAAGCUGUGGGAUAUGAAAAUAUCGGUAGGGGAGCGUUCCGCGAUAGGGUGAAGCACUAGCGGCAAGCAGGUGUGGACGAAGCGGAAGUGAGAAUGUCGGCUUGAGUAGCGAAAACAUUGGUGAGAAUCCAAUGCCCCGAAACCCUAAGGGUUCCUCCGGCAGGUUCGUCCACGGAGGGUUAGUCAGGACCUAAGGCGAGGCCAAACGGCGUAGUCGAUGGACAACGGGUGAACAAUCCCGUACUGACAAUAAGUAGUGCAGAGGGACACAGAAGGCAAAGCCAGCCGGAUGUUGGUUACCGGUUCAACCAUACGAGGUGAUGAGAAGCGGCGAAAACGCUUUGAGCUGAGGUGGGAGUACGAGGUGCUACGGCACCGAAGUGGUGUAGUCAAGCUGUCAAGAAAAGCUCUAGACACG
Molecule: ribosomal RNA, 1582 nt
Filed under: Gloeocapsopsis dulcis AAB1 = 1H9
Lineage: Bacteria; Bacillati; Cyanobacteriota; Cyanophyceae; Chroococcidiopsidales; Chroococcidiopsidaceae
Description: bacterial LSU rRNA
Rfam family: Bacterial large subunit ribosomal RNA
Source: RNAcentral